This 399-nucleotide ribosomal RNA is filed under the name uncultured bacterium. Its description in RNAcentral is "bacterial SSU rRNA". It matches the Rfam family "Bacterial small subunit ribosomal RNA", at positions 356 to 773 of the family's 1533-position model. The record is from RNAcentral.
GGGGAAUAUUGCACAAUGGAGGAAACUCUGAUGCAGCGACGCCGCGUGAGUGAAGAAGGUCUUCGGAUCGUAAAACUCUGUCCUUGGUGAAGAAAAGGACGGUAGCCAAGGAGGAAGCCCCGGCUAACUACGUGCCAGCAGCCGCGGUAAUACGUAGGGGGCGAGCGUUGUCCGGAUUUACUGGGCGUAAAGGGUGAGUAGGCGGUUGUAUAUGUCAGGUGUAAAAGGCACAGGCUUAACUUGUGUUAGCACUUGAAACUGUACGACUUGAGUGCAGGAGAGGUAAGCGGAAUUCCUAGUGUAGCGGUGAAAUGCGUAGAUAUUAGGAGGAACACCAGUGGCGAAGGCGGCUUACUGGACUGUAACUGACGCUGAGUCACGAAAGCGUGGGUAGCAAAC